UGGGGAAUUUUGGACAAUGGGCGAAAGCCUGAUCCAGCAAUGCCGCGUGUGUGAAGAAGGCCUUCGGGUUGUAAAGCACUUUUGUCCGGAAAGAAAUCCUUGGCUCUAAUACAGUCGGGGGGAUGACGGUACCGGAAGAAUAAGCACCGGCUAACUACGUGCCAGCAGCCGCGGUAAUACGUAGGGUGCAAGCGUUAAUCGGAAUUACUGGGCGUAAAGCGUGCGCAGGCGGUUUGCUAAGACCGAUGUGAAAUCCCCGGGCUCAACCUGGGAACUGCAUUGGUGACUGGCAGGCUAGAGUAUGGCAGAGGGGGGUAGAAUUCCACGUGUAGCAGUGAAAAUGCGUAGAGAUGUGGAGGAAUACCGAUGGCGAAGGCAGCCCCCCUGGGGCCAAAUACUGACGCUCAUGCACGAAAAGCGUGGGGAGCAAAACAGGAUUAGAUACCCCUGGUAGUCCACGCCCUAAACGAUGUCAACUAGUUGUUGGGGAUUCAUUUCCUUAGUAACGUAGCUAACGCGUGAAGUUGACCGCCUGGGGAGUACGGUCGCAAGAUUAAAACUUAAAUGAAUUGACGGGGUCAUAGCUGUUUCCU
This 593-nucleotide ribosomal RNA is filed under the name uncultured bacterium. Its description in RNAcentral is "partial 16S ribosomal RNA". It matches the Rfam family "Bacterial small subunit ribosomal RNA", at positions 355 to 1375 of the family's 1533-position model. The record is from RNAcentral.